GAUUGGAAGGCACUCUGCAACAGUG
Molecule: microRNA, 25 nt
Filed under: Eptesicus fuscus (big brown bat)
Lineage: Eukaryota; Metazoa; Chordata; Mammalia; Chiroptera; Vespertilionidae
Description: efu-miR-2683
Source: miRBase by way of RNAcentral